This 466-nucleotide ribosomal RNA is filed under the name uncultured bacterium. Its description in RNAcentral is "partial 16S ribosomal RNA". It matches the Rfam family "Bacterial small subunit ribosomal RNA", at positions 28 to 507 of the family's 1533-position model. The record is from RNAcentral.
GAUGAACGCUGGCGGCGCGCUUAACACAUGCAAGUCGAACGGUGAAGACCAGCUUGCUGGGUGGAUUAGUGGCGAACGGGUGAGUAACACGUGAGUAACCUGCCCUUAACUCUGGGAUAAGCCUGGGAAACUGGGGCUAAUACCGGAUAGGGGCGUCCACUGCAAGGUGGGUGAUGGAAAGAUUUAUCGGUUUUGGAUGGACUCGCGGCCUAUCAGCUUGUUGGUGAGGGGUUGCGUCACCAAGGCGACGCGGCGUAGCCGGCCUGAGAGGGGGAGCGGCCCCACUGGGUCUGAGAUGCGGCCCAGACUCCUCCGGGACGCAGCAGUGCGGUAUAUUGCACUAUGCGCGGAAGCCUGCUGCAGUGCCGCCGCGUGGGGGAUGACGGCCAUCGGUUUGUAUUCCUCUUCCAGUAGGGAAGAAGCGAAAGUGACGGUACCUGUAUAGGAAGCACCGGCUAACUACGUG